RNAcentral lists this ribosomal RNA (316 nucleotides) under uncultured eukaryote. Its description in RNAcentral is "partial 18S ribosomal RNA". It matches the Rfam family "Eukaryotic small subunit ribosomal RNA", at positions 1470 to 1796 of the family's 1831-position model. The record is from RNAcentral.
CCCUUAGAUGUCCUGGGCCGCACGCGCGCUACACUGAUACAGGCAGUAAGUCUCCAAUUCCGAAAGGUUUUGGGAACCUCCAAACUGUAUCGUGCUGGGGAUUGACACUUGUAAUUAUUUGUCAUCAACGAGGAAUACCUAGUAAGCGCAAGUCAACAGCUUGCAUUGAUUACGUCCCUGCCCUUUGUACACACCGCCCGUCGCACCUACCGAUUGAAUGGUCCGGUGAAAUCUCGGGACGGCGGCUUGGUCGCUUGCGUCCGACUGCUGAAACUUGAUUAAACCAUAUCAUUUAGAGGAAGGUGAAGUCGUAACA